Small nucleolar RNA from Brassica napus (rape), 108 nucleotides. Lineage: Eukaryota; Viridiplantae; Streptophyta; Magnoliopsida; Brassicales; Brassicaceae. The record is from RefSeq and is a predicted model, not a curated record.
AACCCAUGGUGUGGGCACUCUCUCUGGUAUUCCUUAUAAAUUUCCCAAGCUUCAUGAAAAGGUUCAUCAGACUUCUGCUUGAAGUUGGAGAUUCUGUGCCGUAAAGCC